This 713-nucleotide ribosomal RNA is filed under the name uncultured Arcobacter sp. RNAcentral's name for it is "bacterial SSU rRNA". It matches the Rfam family "Bacterial small subunit ribosomal RNA", at positions 56 to 778 of the family's 1533-position model. The record is from RNAcentral. Lineage: Bacteria; Pseudomonadati; Campylobacterota; Epsilonproteobacteria; Campylobacterales; Arcobacteraceae.
UGCGAGUCGAACGAGAACGGGUCUUAGCUUGCUAAGAUUGUCAGCUAAGUGGCGCACGGGUGAGUAAUAUAUAGUUAACCUGCCCUAGAGAGAGGGAUAACGUUUGGAAACGGACGCUAACACCUCAUAUGCCUUUAAGUCAAAAGACUGCAAGGGAAACAUUUAUGGCUCUAGGAUGGGACUGUACGGUAUCAGUUAGUUGGUGAGGUAAUGGCUCACCAAGACAAUGACACCUAACUGGUUUGAGAGGAUGAUCAGUCACACUGGAACUGAGACACGGUCCAGACUCCUACGGGAGGCAGCAGUGGGGAAUAUUGCACAAUGGACGAAAGUCUGAUGCAGCAACGCCGCGUGGAGGAUGACACAUUUCGGUGCGUAAACUCCUUUUAUAUAGGAAGAUAAUGACGGUACUAUAUGAAUAAGCACCGGCUAACUCCGUGCCAGCAGCCGCGGCAAUACGGAGGGUGCAAGCGUUACUCGGAAUCACUGGGCGUAAAGAGAAUGUAGGCGGGUAAUUAAGUCAGAAGUGAAAUCCAAUAGCUCAACUAUUGAACUGCUUUUGAAACUGAUAACCUAGAAUAUGGGAGAGGUAGAUGGAAUUUCUGGUGUAGGGGGUAAAAUCCGUAGAGAUCAGAACGAAUACCGAUUGCGAACGCGAUCUACUGGAAACAUUAUUGACGCUGAGAUUCGAAAGCGUGGGGAGCAAACAGGAU